AUACGUAGGGUGCGAGCGUUGUCCGGAAUUACUGGGCGUAAAGAGCUCGUAGGUGGUUUGUCGCGUCGUCUGUGAAAUUCCGGGGCUUAACUCCGGGCGUGCAGGCGAUACGGGCAUAACUUGAGUACUGUAGGGGAGACUGGAAUUCCUGGUGUAGCGGUGAAAUGCGCAGAUAUCAGGAGGAACACCGGUGGCGUAGGCGGGUCUCUGGGCAGUAACUGACGCUGAGGAGCGAAAGCAUGGGUAGCGAACAGGAUUAGAUACCCUGGUAGUCCAUGCCGUAAACGGUGGGCGCUAGGUGUAGGGGUCUUCCACGACUUCUGUGCCGUAGCUAACGCAUUAAGCGCCCCGCCUGGGGAGUACGGCCGCAAGGCUAAAACUCAAAGGAAUUGACGGGG
This 398-nucleotide ribosomal RNA is filed under the name uncultured bacterium. RNAcentral describes it as "partial 16S ribosomal RNA". It matches the Rfam family "Bacterial small subunit ribosomal RNA", at positions 523 to 918 of the family's 1533-position model. The record is from RNAcentral.